CAGAUUGAACGCUGGCGGCAGGCCUAACACAUGCAAGUCGAACGGUAACAGGAAGCAGCUUGCUGCUUUGCUGACGAGUGGCGGACGGGUGAGUAAUGUCUGGGAAACUGCCUGAUGGAGGGGGAUAACUACUGGAAACGGUAGCUAAUACCGCAUAACGUCGCAAGACCAAAGAGGGGGACCUUCGGGCCUCUUGCCAUCGGAUGUGCCCAGAUGGGAUUAGCUAGUAGGUGGGGUAACGGCUCACCUAGGCGACGAUCCCUAGCUGGUCUGAGAGGAUGACCAGCCACACUGGAACUGAGACACGGUCCAGACUCCUACGGGAGGCAGCAGUGGGGAAUAUUGCACAAUGGGCGCAAGCCUGAUGCAGCCAUGCCGCGUGUAUGAAGAAGGCCUUCGGGUUGUAAAGUACUUUCAGCGGGGAGGAAGGCGUUGUGGUUAAUAACCACAGCGAUUGACGUUACCCGCAGAAGAAGCACCGGCUAACUCCGUGCCAGCAGCCGCGGUAAUACGGAGGGUGCAAGCGUUAAUCGGAAUUACUGGGCGUAAAGCGCACGCAGGCGGUCUGUCAAGUCGGAUGUGAAAUCCCCGGGCUCAACCUGGGAACUGCAUUCGAAACUGGCAGGCUAGAGUCUUGUAGAGGGGGGUAGAAUUCCAGGUGUAGCGGUGAAAUGCGUAGAGAUCUGGAGGAAUACCGGUGGCGAAGGCGGCCCCCUGGACAAAGACUGACGCUCAGGUGCGAAAGCGUGGGGAGCAAACAGGAUUAGAUACCCUGGUAGUCCACGCCGUAAACGAUGUCGACUUGGAGGUUGUGCCCUUGAGGCGUGGCUUCCGGAGCUAACGCGUUAAGUCGACCGCCUGGGGAGUACGGCCGCAAGGUUAAAACUCAAAUGAAUUGACGGGGGCCCGCACAAGCGGUGGAGCAUGUGGUUUAAUUCGAUGCAACGCGAAGAACCUUACCUACUCUUGACAUCCAGAGAACUUUCCAGAGAUGGAUUGGUGCCUUCGGGAACUCUGAGACAGGUGCUGCAUGGCUGUCGUCAGCUCGUGUUGUGAAAUGUUGGGUUAAGUCCCGCAACGAGCGCAACCCUUAUCCUUUGUUGCCAGCGGUUAGGCCGGGAACUCAAAGGAGACUGCCAGUGAUAAACUGGAGGAAGGUGGGGAUGACGUCAAGUCAUCAUGGCCCUUACGAGUAGGGCUACACACGUGCUACAAUGGCGCAUACAAAGAGAAGCGACCUCGCGAGAGCAAGCGGACCUCAUAAAGUGCGUCGUAGUCCGGAUUGGAGUCUGCAACUCGACUCCAUGAAGUCGGAAUCGCUAGUAAUCGUGGAUCAGAAUGCCACGGUGAAUACGUUCCCGGGCCUUGUACACACCGCCCGUCACACCAUGGGAGUGGGUUGCAAAAGAAGUAGGUAGCUUAACCUUCGGGAGGGCGCUUACCACUUUGUGAUUCAUGACUGGGGGUGAAGUCGUAACAAGGUAACCGUAGGGG
This 1494-nucleotide ribosomal RNA is filed under the name Enterobacter cloacae. RNAcentral's name for it is "bacterial SSU rRNA". It matches the Rfam family "Bacterial small subunit ribosomal RNA". The record is from RNAcentral. Lineage: Bacteria; Pseudomonadati; Pseudomonadota; Gammaproteobacteria; Enterobacterales; Enterobacteriaceae.